RNAcentral lists this ribosomal RNA (376 nucleotides) under uncultured bacterium. Its description in RNAcentral is "bacterial SSU rRNA". It matches the Rfam family "Bacterial small subunit ribosomal RNA", at positions 524 to 898 of the family's 1533-position model. The record is from RNAcentral.
UACGAACCGUCCAAACGUUAUUCGGAAUCACUGGGCUUAAAGGGUACGUAGGCGGCGCUGUUAGUCGGGUGUGAAAUCCCUCGGCUCAACCGAGGAAUUGCGUCCGAUACUGCAGUGCUUGAGGGAGACAGAGGUAAGCGGAACUGAUGGUGGAGCGGUGAAAUGCGUUGAUAUCAUCAGGAACACCGGUGGCGAAAGCGGCUUACUGGGUCUCUUCUGACGCUGAGGUACGAAAGCUAGGGGAGCGAAGGGGAUUAGAUACCCCCGUAGUCCUAGCCGUAAACUCUGAGCACUUGAUCGUGGGCCCCCCCAUAGGCUCUCGGUCGUAGCGAAAGUGUUAAGUGCUCCGCCUGGGGAGUAUGGUCGCAAGGCUGAA